CAUGGUUCUACCAUGCCACCAUGAGGCCUCAAUGUUGGUUACAGAGGGGGAAGAGAAUGCAUAAGGAAUGUAGUGGAUAUUUACACUGCCUCUUCUGUUCUUCAGUCCUCCUGGGUGAAAACAGAGAAAAUACAAAGGGACUGAACUGUAGAGAGACUCAUCUUUUCAAGUCACCUACUAGAAGUUUCAAGGAUCCCAUGAUCUCAUCAUCAUCUUUCAUGGUACAUUGCCUCCACAGACAGGGAUAUAAGCACAGUAGAUGAGAGUUUAUUUAUUUAUUCAUGAGAGAGAGAAGCCCGGGUCUCCAGG
This is a long non-coding RNA of Canis lupus familiaris (dog), 309 nucleotides long. RefSeq lists it as uncharacterized. The record is from RefSeq and is a predicted model, not a curated record. The transcript has 3 exons. NCBI's taxonomy places the organism in Eukaryota, Metazoa, Chordata, Mammalia, Carnivora, Canidae.